AUAGUUUACUAGGGGUGCCCAAAGUUGCGGGCUGAGAGAGGAGCGCUGAAUGCUUCUUAACCCUUUGGACCUGAUCUGGUUCGUACCAGCGUGGGGAAGUAAGGGAUUAUGAAG
This 114-nucleotide non-coding RNA is filed under the name Bacillus gobiensis. RNAcentral's name for it is "TPP sequence". It matches the Rfam family "TPP riboswitch aptamer (THI element)". Rfam says of the family: Vitamin B(1) in its active form thiamin pyrophosphate (TPP) is an essential coenzyme that is synthesised by coupling of pyrimidine and thiazole moieties in bacteria. The previously detected thiamin-regulatory element, thi box was extended, resulting in a new, highly conserved RNA secondary structure, the THI element, which is widely distributed in eubacteria and also occurs in some archaea. The record is from Rfam by way of RNAcentral. Lineage: Bacteria; Bacillati; Bacillota; Bacilli; Caryophanales; Bacillaceae.